Molecule: ribosomal RNA, 497 nt
Filed under: uncultured bacterium
Lineage: Bacteria
Description: partial 16S ribosomal RNA
Rfam family: Bacterial small subunit ribosomal RNA
Source: RNAcentral
GACGAACGCUGGCGGCGUGCCUAAUACAUGCAAGUUGAGCGAUGAAGAUUGGUGCUUGCACCAAUUUGAAGAGCAGCGAACGGGUGAGUAACGCGUGGGGAAUCUGCCUUUGAGCGGGGGACAACAUUUGGAAACGAAUGCUAAUACCGCAUAACAACUUUAAACAUAAGUUUUAAGUUUGAAAGAUGCAAUUGCAUCACUCAAAGAUGAUCCCGCGUUGUAUUAGCUAGUUGGUGAGGUAAAGGCUCACCAAGGCGAUGAUACAUAGCCGACCUGAGAGGGUGAUCGGCCACAUUGGGACUGAGACACGGCCCAAAAUCCUACGGGAGGCAGCAGUAGGGAAUCUUCGGCAAUGGACGAAAGUCUGACCGAGCAACGCCGCGGGAGUGAAGAAGGUUUUCGGAUCGUAAAACUCUGUUGGUAGAGAAGAACGUUGGUGAGAGUGGAAAGCUCAUCAAGUGACGGUAACUACCCAGAAAGGGACGGCUAACUACGUG